Molecule: ribosomal RNA, 465 nt
Filed under: uncultured bacterium
Lineage: Bacteria
Description: partial 16S ribosomal RNA
Rfam family: Bacterial small subunit ribosomal RNA
Source: RNAcentral
GAUGAACGCUGGCGGCGUGCUUAACACAUGCAAGUCGAACGGAAAGGCUCCUGCUUGCAGGGGUACUCGAGUGGCGAACGGGUGAGUAACACGUGGGUGAUCUGCCCUGCACUUCGGGAUAAGCCUGGGAAACUGGGUCUAAUACCGGAUAGGACCGCAUUUUGGAUGGUGUGGUGGAAAGUUUUUCGGUGUGGGAUGAGCUCGCGGCCUAUCAGCUUGUUGGUGGGGUAGUGGCCUACCAAGGCGUCGACGGGUAGCCGGCCUGAGAGGGUGUACGGCCACAUUGGGACUGAGAUACGGCCCAGACUCCUACGGGAGGCAGCAGUGGGGAAUAUUGCACAAUGGGCGCAAGCCUGAUGCAGCGACGCCGCGUGGGGGAUGACGGCCUUCGAGUUGUAAACUGCUUUCGCUAGGGACGAAGCGCAAGUGACGGUACCUGGAGAAGAAGCACCGGCUAACUACGUG